AUUGAACGCUGGCGGCAGGCCUAACACAUGCAAGUCGAACGGUAACAGGAAGAAGCUUGCUUCUUUGCUGACGAGUGGCGGACGGGUGAGUAAUGUCUGGGAAACUGCCUGAUGGAGGGGGAUAACUACUGGAAACGGUAGCUAAUACCGCAUAACGUCGCAAGACCAAAGAGGGGGACCUUCGGGCCUCUUGCCAUCGGAUGUGCCCAGAUGGGAUUAGCUAGUAGGUGGGGUAACGGCUCACCUAGGCGACGAUCCCUAGCUGGUCUGAGAGGAUGACCAGCCACACGGGAACUGAGACACGGUCCAGACUCCUACGGGAGGCAGCAGUGGGGAAUAUUGCACAAUGGGCGCAAGCCUGAUGCAGCCAUGCCGCGUGUAUGAAGAAGGCCUUCGGGUUGGAAAGUACUUUCAGCGGGGAGGAAGGGAGUAAAGUUAAUACCUUGGCUCAUUGACGUUACCCGCAGAAGAAGCACCGGCUAACUCCGUG
This 490-nucleotide ribosomal RNA is filed under the name uncultured bacterium. RNAcentral's name for it is "partial 16S ribosomal RNA". It matches the Rfam family "Bacterial small subunit ribosomal RNA", at positions 30 to 507 of the family's 1533-position model. The record is from RNAcentral.